AAGGAAUGGGCAACGGUAGGUCAGCAUGCCCCGAAUUAUCUGGGCUACACGCGGGCUACAAUGGGUGGGACAAUGGGUAUCGACGACCGAAAGGUGAAGGCAAUCUCCUAAACCCAUCCGUAGUUCGGAUUGUGGGCUGCAACUCGCCCACAUGAAGCUGGAAUCUGUAGUAAUCGUGUCUCAAAAUGGCACGGUGAAUAUGUCCCUGCUCCUU
This 214-nucleotide ribosomal RNA is filed under the name uncultured Methanomicrobiales archaeon. RNAcentral describes it as "partial 16S ribosomal RNA". It matches the Rfam family "Archaeal small subunit ribosomal RNA", at positions 1126 to 1338 of the family's 1478-position model. The record is from RNAcentral. Lineage: Archaea; Methanobacteriati; Methanobacteriota; Methanomicrobia; Methanomicrobiales.